RNAcentral lists this ribosomal RNA (253 nucleotides) under uncultured bacterium. RNAcentral's name for it is "partial 16S ribosomal RNA". It matches the Rfam family "Bacterial small subunit ribosomal RNA", at positions 524 to 776 of the family's 1533-position model. The record is from RNAcentral.
UACGGAGCGGGCUAGCGUUGUUCGGAAUUACUGGGCGUAAAGCGCACGUAGGCGGACUGGAAAGUCAGAGGUGAAAUCCCAGGGCUCAACCUUGGAACUGCCUUUGAAACUCCCGGUCUUGAGGUCGAGAGAGGUGAGUGGAAUUCCGAGUGUAGAGGUGAAAUUCGUAGAUAUUCGGAGGAACACCAGUGGCGAAGGCGGCUCACUGGCUCGAUACUGACGCUGAGGUGCGAAAGCGUGGGGAGCAAACAGG